RNAcentral lists this ribosomal RNA (495 nucleotides) under uncultured bacterium. Its description in RNAcentral is "partial 16S ribosomal RNA". It matches the Rfam family "Bacterial small subunit ribosomal RNA", at positions 28 to 507 of the family's 1533-position model. The record is from RNAcentral.
GACGAACGCUGGCGGCGUGCCUAAUACAUGCAAGUAGAACGCUGAAGGAGGAGCUUGCUCUUCUGGAUGAGUUGCGAACGGGUGAGUAACGCGUAGGUAACCUGCCUGGUAGCGGGGGAUAACUAUUGGAAACGAUAGCUAAUACCGCAUAACAGUAGAUGUUGCAUGACAUUUGCUUAAAGGGUGCAAUUGCACCACUACCAGAUGGACCUGCGUUGUAUUAGCUAGUUGGUGGGGUAACGGCUCACCAAGGCGACGAUACAUAGCCGACCUGAGAGGGUGAUCGGCCACACUGGGACUGAGACACGGCCCAGACUCCUACGGGAGGCAGCAGUAGGGAAUCUUCGGCAAUGGACGGAAGUCUGACCGAGCAACGCCGCGUGAGUGAAGAAGGUUGUCGGAUCGUAAAGCUCGGUUGUAAGAGAAGAACGAGUGUGAGAGUGGAAAGUUCACACUGUGACGGUAUCUUACCAGAAAGGGACGGCUAACUACGUG